RNA transcript from Fragaria vesca subsp. vesca, 6115 nucleotides. RefSeq lists it as uncharacterized. The transcript has 20 exons. The record is from RefSeq and is a predicted model, not a curated record. Lineage: Eukaryota; Viridiplantae; Streptophyta; Magnoliopsida; Rosales; Rosaceae.
AUGGCGCCGUCCGACGGCUUCAGCGUCCGGAUCGUCUCCGUCGACUUCUACAUGACGCCGCCCAUCCCCGGCCUCGAUAUCUCCUACAGUAGCUUCCACGGUGGGAAGGUGAAAGAGGUGCCUGUAAUAAGAAUCUACGGCUCGACUCCGGCCGGUCAGAAAACUUGUUUGCAUAUUCACAGACUCAAAAGCAGUGCUGGUUCAAAGCGACAACAUGUACAUGGUUGCAGCCUUGUCCAGGCAAGGAAGCUCUAUGGUUACCAUUCAUCAGAGGAGGUUUUUGUGAAGAUAUACCUCUAUUAUCCACAUGAUGUGACUCGCGCAGCCAAUCUUCUUCUGGGAGGUGCAGUUCUGGGUAAAUGCUUACAGCCCCAUCAAUCGCACAUUCCCUUCAUUCUCCAAUUUAUGGUAUGAGAUUUGCGCAUUAAAGGAGGUUUGGAUGAUAUUCUUCCAUUCUUUAUGAGAGACUGCCAAGAUGAGACAGAGAUCCAGCACAACCGUGUUGGAAUUAGUGAGUCUCAUUCUCAUCAAGAAAGUGCCAGAGGUGUCCCUACUCACUAUCAAGCUGAUGGCUUUUGUUUGUAUCUGUUAACACCUGCAAUUUCACCUCCUACUGCCAAAAAUGUACACUGCUGGAUCCAUCAUGCAGGAUCUUCUGCGAUUCUGACUGGUUUACAGAAGUCUUUGCCUAAUGAUUUGGACAAGCCUUCACUCAAAUAUGGUUCUGUAUGUGAUGUUCAACCUAAUCUAUGCCAAGGACCACAAGUAGAUCAUAGAAAUCUUGAAGCAGAAAGGUAUCCUUUUUGUAAUGACAUGACAGAAGCAUUGGAACGAGAAGCAGAUGUUAUAAGAGUUAAGACAUACCCUGAUCGCUUGCAAGAUAGUUCUCAGAUCUCUGGUCCAGAUAGGAGAUCGAAAUCCACUCCACUUAGUCAAACUGGGUUUCGAGACCCAGCAAGUGUUGGUAUUGGCCAGCAGCUGAUGUUGUUAAGUAUAGAGGUUCAAGCAGAAUCUAGGGGUGAUCUUCGACCCAAUCCUCAGUUUGAUGCUAUCAAUAUUGUAUCGCUUGCUAUUCAGAAUGAUUGUGAUUCCAUUGUUGAAGUUCACGUACUUAUGCGCAGCAAUGCCAAAAAUUGUAAGAGGAGUCAUGACGGAAUUUCUGACUGCAAGCUGCUGGUGUUUCAUGAAGAGAAGUACUUAUUUCAUCAUUUUAUCAAGUUUGUAUGCUCCUUGGACCCCGAUAUAUUGAUGGGUUGGGACAUUCAGGGUGGUUCUCUUGGUUUUUUGGCUGAAAGGGCUUCACAUCUUGGUAUAGGCUUACUCAACAAGAUAUCUCGAACACCAUCUGAAGCCCAGAUGGUGGCUGAGGAUUCCGAAGUUCCGGAGAAAGUCUCACAAGAUAACCUAGUUGCUGAAUCGAUUACUGAUUCGGUUGUAUUAGAAGAUCCAAUAAUUGAGGAUGAAUGGGGACGAACUCAUUCCAGCGGUGUCCAUGUUGGUGGUAGAAUUGUACUUAAUGUCUGGCGGCUGAUGCGCAGUGAAGUGAAGCUUAAUAUGAACACAGUCGAAGCUGUUUCUGAAGUUGUGUUGAGGCGGAAAGUCCCAUAUAUUCCUAAUAAAGUACUGACAAAAUGGUUUUUAAGUGGUCCUGGAAGAGCAAGAUACCGAUGUAUCAAAUAUGUGAAGGAGAGAGCAGAACUGAAUCUUGAGAUGAUGAAUCAACUAGAUAUGAUAAAUCGAACAUCAGAACUUGCCCGUGUCUUUGGCAUCGACUUUUUUUCUGUUCUCUCUAGAGGCUCCCAAUACCGUGUUGAAUCUAUGGUUCUGAGACUGGCACAUAUACAAAACUAUCUUGCCAUUUCCCCUGGGAAACAACAGGUAGCAUCGCAGCCAGCAAUGGAAUGCAUCCCUCUUGUAAUGGAACCAGAAUCUGGUUUUUAUGCAGAUCCAGUAGUUGUUUUGGAUUUUCAAUCUCUUUAUCCAUCGAUGAUAAUUGCAUACAACCUUUGCUAUUCUACAUGCCUUGGAAAAGUUGCACCUUCAGAAUCAAAUACACUUGGUGUCAGUUCAUUUUCACCAGAUCCACAUGAUCUGCAUGAUUUAAAAGAUCAAAUACUUCUUACUCCAAAUGGUGUUAUGUACGUGCCAGCAAAGGUCCGUAAAGGUGUACUACCCCGCUUAUUGGAUGAAAUAUUGUCAACCAGAAUAAUGGUUAAACAAGCAAUGAAAAAAUUGUCUCCAUCACAGAAAGUUCUUCACAGGAUAUUUAAUGCAAGACAAUUUGCACUGAAGCUGAUAGCAAACGUGACGUAUGGUUACACUGCUGCUGGGUUUAGUGGCCGCAUGCCUUGUGCAGAGAUUGCAGACAGUAUUGUCCAGUGCGGCCGUAGCACACUUGAGAAGGCUAUUUCAUAUGUAAAUGCACAUGACAAGUGGAAGGCUAAAGUUAUUUAUGGCGACACAGACAGCAUGUUUGUCCUUCUAAAAGGCCGCACUAGGGAAGAAUCUUUUCAGAUUGGACAGGAGAUUGCCUCUGAAAUCAGUUCUAUGAGCCCAACUCCAGUUGCUUUGAAGAUGGAAAAAGUUUAUCAGCCAUGUUUCCUUCUUACCAAGAAGCGAUAUGUUGGUUACAGCUAUGAAAGCCCUGGACAGAGUGAACCUAUUUUUGAUGCUAAAGGCAUUGAGACAGUUCGCAGGGAUACAUGUGCGGCUGUUGCCAAGACAAUGGAGCAGUCUCUGAGACUUUUUUUUGAACAUCAAGAUAUGGCUGAGGUCAAAGCAUACUUACAGCGCCAGUGGAAACGAAUUCUUUCUGGAAGGGUGUGUCUUCAGGAUUUUGUAUUUGCAAAAGAGGUUCGUCUAGGAACUUACCGUGCUAGUGGUUCAUCACUUCCACCAGCUGCAAUUGUUGCUACAAAAGCUAUGAGAAUUGACCCGAGGGCAGAACCACGUUAUGCAGAGAGAGUACCUUACGUUGUAAUACAUGGGGAGCCUGGGGCCCGUCUGGCUGAUGUGGUUGUGGAUCCCUUGAGCCUACUGGCCACUGAUUCAGCCUAUAGACUAAAUGAUCUCUAUUACAUUCACAAACAGAUAAUCCCAGCUUUGCAGCGAGUGUUUGGGCUUGUUGGAGCUGACCUGCCGCAGUGGUUUUCAGAUAUGCCCCGCCCAGUAAGGGAAGCCUUGGGGAAACGCCCCUCUUCUGCUUCAAAUGCACACCGAACCAGAAUUGACUAUUACUAUCUUUCAAGGCAUUGCAUAUUGUGUGGUGAGUUGGUCCAGGGAUCGGCCCAUCUAUGCAAUCAAUGUUCUGAGAACAAAACUGCAGCAGCAGCAGCUAUAAUUGGAAGGACUUCAAAGCUGGAGAAAGAGAUGCAACACCUUGCCGCUAUCUGUCGACAUUGUGGAGGUGGGGAUUCACUUGAAGGAAAUGGCAUCAAAUGCACUUCUCUUGCAUGCUCAGUGUUUUAUGAGAGACGCAAAGUUCAGAAAGAACUGCAGGGAACUGCUUCUGUUGCUGCAGAAACAGGUUUCUAUCCUCAAUGUUUGUCACACUCACACUCCCCAUCUUCUCUAAAAAUGGCACAAUCUCCCUACUCCCUACUCCUCAAACGCCUCUCUCGCUAUUCCCCAAACCCAAAACCCUUCUCCUUCCUUAAACCCUACUCCACCUCCUCCCCAAACCCCCUCCUCCCUCUCCGCCCGCCUCAGCUUCGUCUUCGACCAAAUCGACGUCAUCGAGAAAGAACGCUCCGAGAAAGACCAAACCCUCCAAAAGAUUCGAGCUUGGCGCGAAUCCAAAAACCCCCAAACCCCAGAACUAGGAUUUCACAAUCCCCAUGUCGAUGAAGCAGUUUCAUCUUCCGAUGUGGGACCGGAGAAGCCCAGUUCGGUGGCGGUUAAGAAGGAGGUGGAGGUGGUGCACCCGUGGCCGGAGUGGAUUGAGUUGAUGGAGAGGCUGGUGGGGCAGAACUACUUUGACCAUAGGAGGAAGGACGAGGACAGAAUGGUCCAAGUCAUGGGGGUUGAUGCUUCGGAUGUUGCUCCGGCCGGCGAUGACUGCCAGGGUUUGGAUUUUGGGGAUUUCAAGGCUGUUCAUACUGCUUGUCUUAAUUUCGGCAAGGACCGGUUUGAUAUCUUCAGGUCCUUGUCGAGACAGGAUAUUCAAAUUUUGGUGGGUUUUGGAUGCCCGAGUACGGACAAGAAGGUGGUUUUUUCUUCAAAGCUGUUAAGGAAGCACACCCACCUUGAUGAAGGAGAUGUUUGUAGUUCCUGCAGUUUAAGGAAUUCCUGUGAAAGAGCAUAUCUGAUUACUAACAAAGAGGAUGAGGCCCGGACCAUUGAUAUAAUGCGUGUUUUAUUGACUUACGGCUUUGAUCCUAUAAACGGAUCAGUACAAAACAAGUCACUUCUGAAACAGAAAUCUGUUAAAACUGUAGUCCGCAAGUUGCUUCAUCAGGUUGUCAAGCUGAGUUCAGUUCCAAUAGAUCCUAGUCUACCUCCUCCGGUGAUCAAAAAGCCACCCCCAAAAGUGAAGCAGCCUCCUCCCCCUCCAAGAAAACGAGUUGGACGUGAUGACAUUGAGAUGAAAAAAGGGGACUGGCUAUGCUCUAAGUGCGACUUCAUGAAUUUUGCCAAAAACAGCCUGUGCCUGCAGUGUGAUGCCAAGCGUCCAAAGAGACAGCUGCUUCCAGGAGAAUGGGAAUGCCCAGAGUGCAAUUUUUUAAACUACAGGAGAAAUAUGGCAUGUUUUCAUUGUGAUUGCAAGCGCCCACCUGAUGAAUAUAUUGAGAACAACAUGCAAGAAAAGCAACGUGGCCAUAGGACUAGGAUGGAUAACCCUGCGAUUCGGCCCGAUGCCUCUAAUGCCUGGAAUUUUGAUUUUGAUGACAAUGAGUCAGAUGGAGCGGAUGUUGCUGCUUUUGAGUAUGCAGAUCCAGUAAUGAGAGAAGGGUCUCUUGACAGCCAGGGUCGAGGGGAAAAUUUUCGACAUCCUGAAUACGAUUUGAGUAAAAAUAGGAGAGUGUCAAGGGUUGACCAUGGAGAAUAUUCUGAUGCUGACAAUAUUAAGCCAGGCAGAGGGUUUGAUGAUUUUGAUGAUGAAGAUGAGGAUAUUGACAAUUACGAGUUGGACACUCGUACCAAAGAUUCAGCACAGAAAACUUCAAUUGAUUUUUCUGAAUUGGAGGGGUCUGAAUCAGAAGACAGUGAAGGUCAAGACAAUAAUUUGCAUGCUCACCGAGCAAACUCUUCAUCUUACAAUAAGCCAUCUAAGCCUAUGCCUCGACGAGCAGCAUACUCUGUCUCAGAUGAUGAUGAACUUGAUAUAAAUUCUGACGAACACAUUCCUGUUCUUCCCAACCGGAGAUCAAGUCAUGUUGCUGAUUCUCGAUCAAGAGGUAGGGGUAGAGACUCAAAUGGUCCAUCAAAGAGAGUAAGCUUUGUUUCUGAUGAUGAUGUUGGGCUCUACUCUGAUGUGGAUGAUGAUCUAGAUCAAAAUAUUAGAUCCAGACAAGGUAAACCAAACAAACUGGGUUCUGGGAGAAAAGACUUUCAGAGGAGAAGAAAUUUUGAUAGUGAAGAUGAUUCAAUGUCUGGUUCAGAAUCAGAGAAUGAUGAUUUUCAUUCUCAUAAAAAUAGGCCCAGAGGAAAUAAACCAAACAGUUUCAAAGGUGCACAAUUUCAAUCCAACGGAAUGAAGAGUGGCAGGAAGAGUUCUUUCAGUGAUGAUGACUUUGGUGGAUCAACCCGAGGGUCUCGUGAUAACAGAGGAUUUCGAGGGAAUGGUUUUGAUGGGCAGAGAAUGAGUAACAGAGGUGUUGAUAGGCAGAAUUUCAAGGGGCCUAAAAGAGAAGGAUUUGGAAAUGGUGGUAGGAGAAACUCUUUUGGUGACAAUUUUGAUAGAUCUAAACAAGUAUCUCGUGGUAAUAACAAAGGAUUUCGGGAAAAAAACUUUGAUGGGCACAGAACGAGUAACCGUGGCUUUGAUAAACACAAUUUUAAGGGACCUAAAAGAGAAGGAUUUGGAAAGCCGCAGCGUGAAAGAUUCAAUAAUGAUAGAGACAAGGACGGGGACUUUGGUAACUUUAGCAAUAGCCGACGUGUUAUUGAAAGAUAG